AAAAAUCCGCACCUCAUAUAGCCUGAGAGCUGACAGUGACCGCGAAUGCGGGAAAUCGGUGAUCCUAUGCUGCCAAGAAAAGCCUCGACGCGAGGUUCUAGCCGCCCGUACCCCAAACCGACUCAGGUGGUCAGGUAGAGAAUACCAAGGCGAUCGAGAGAAUCGUGGUUAAGGAACUCGGCAAAAUGCCCCCGUAACUUCGGGAGAAGGGGGGCCUGAAGCGUGAACCGACUUGCUCGGGGAGCGUGAAGGGCCGCAGAGACCAGGGAGAAGCGACUGUUUACUAAAAACACAGGUCCGUGCGAAGUCGCAAGACGAUGUAUACGGACUGACGCCUGCCCGGUGCUGGAAGGUUAAGAGGACGGGUCAGCCGCAAGGCGAAGCUCAGAAUUUAAGCCCCAGUAAACGGCGGUGGUAACUAUAACCAUCCUAAGGUAGCGAAAUUCCUUGUCGGGUAAGUUCCGACCUGCACGAGUGGCGUAACGACUUCUCCGCUGUCUCAACCGCGAACUCGGCGAAAUUGCACUACGAGUAAAGAUGCUCGUUACGCGCAGCAGGACGGAAAGACCCCGGGACCUUUACUAUAGUUUGGUAUUGGUGUUCGGUGCGGCUUGUGUAGGAUAGGUGGGAGACUGUGAAGCCGGCACGCCAGUGUCGGUGGAGUCAACGUUGAAAUACCACUCUGGUCGCUCUGGAUAUCUAACCUCGGUCCGUGAUCCGGACUAGGGACAGUGCCUGAUGGGUAGUUUAACUGGGGCGGUUGCCUCCUAAAAUGUAACGGAGGCGCUCAAAGGUUCCCUCAGCCUGGUUGGCAAUCAGGUGGCGAGUGCAAGUGCACAAGGGAGCUUGACUGUGAGACUGUCAGGUCGAGCAGGGACGAAAGUCGGAACUAGUGAUCCGGCGGUGGCUUGUGGAAGCGCCGUCGCUCAACGGAUAAAAGGUACCCCGGGGAUAACAGGCUGAUCUUGCCCAAGAGUCCAUAUCGACGGCAUGGUUUGGCACCUCGAUGUCGGCUCGUCGCAUCCUGGGGCUGGAGUAGGUCCCAAGGGUUGGGCUGUUCGCCCAUUAAAGCGGUACGCGAGCUGGGUUUAGAACGUCGUGAGACAGUUCGGUCCCUAUCCGCUGCGCGCGCAGGAAACUUGAGAAGGGCUGUCCCUAGUACGAGAGGACCGGGACGGACGAACCUCUGGUGUGCCAGUUGUUCCGCCAGGAGCACGGCUGGUUGGCUACGCUCGGAAGGGAUAACCGCUGAAAGCAUCUAAGCGGGAAGCCUGCUUCAAGAUGAGGUUUCCAUGGGGACUUGAUCCCCGAGAGGCUCCCAGCUAGACCACUGGGUAGAUGGGCCGGAUGUGGAAGAGGGGACGAAAGACCCUCGCAGCUGACCGGUACUAAUAAGCCGACAACUUC
Molecule: ribosomal RNA, 1407 nt
Filed under: metagenome
Description: bacterial LSU rRNA
Rfam family: Bacterial large subunit ribosomal RNA
Source: RNAcentral